AUUGAACGCUGGCGGCAUGCCUUACACAUGCAAGUCGAACGGCAGCACGGGGGCAACCCUGGUGGUGAGUGGCGAACGGGUGAGUAAUGCAUCGGAACGUGCCCAGUAGUGGGGGAUAACCAGUCGAAAGGCUGGCUAAUACCGCAUACGACCUACGGGUGAAAGCGGGGGACCGUAAGGCCUCGCGCUAUUGGAGCGGCCGAUGUCUGAUUAGCUAGUCGGUGAGGUAAAGGCUCACCAAGCCGACGAUCUGUAGCUGGUCUGAGAGGACGACCAGCCACACUGGGACUGAGACACGGCCCAGACUCCUACGGGAGGCAGCAGUGGGGAAUUUUGGACAAUGGGCGCAAGCCUGAUCCAGCAAUGCCGCGUGCAGGAUGAAGGCCUUCGGGUUGUAAACUGCUUUUGUACGGAACGAAACGGCGAGCUCUAAUACAGUUUGCUAAUGACGGUACCGUAAGAAUAAGCACCGGCUAACUACGUGCCAGCAGCCGCCGUAA
RNAcentral lists this ribosomal RNA (500 nucleotides) under uncultured bacterium. RNAcentral describes it as "partial 16S ribosomal RNA". It matches the Rfam family "Bacterial small subunit ribosomal RNA", at positions 30 to 523 of the family's 1533-position model. The record is from RNAcentral.